RNAcentral lists this unclassified non-coding RNA (555 nucleotides) under Penicillium freii. Its description in RNAcentral is "sequence contains 18S rRNA gene, ITS1, 5.8S rRNA gene, ITS2, 28S rRNA gene". The stretch from base 185 to 337 matches the Rfam family "5.8S ribosomal RNA". Lineage: Eukaryota; Fungi; Ascomycota; Eurotiomycetes; Eurotiales; Aspergillaceae. The record is from RNAcentral.
GAUCAUUACCGAGUGAGGGCCCUUUGGGUCCAACCUCCCACCCGUGUUUAUUUUACCUUGUUGCUUCGGCGGGCCCGCCUUUACUGGCCGCCGGGGGGCUCACGCCCCCGGGUCCGCGCCCGCCGAAGACACCCUCGAACUCUGUCUGAAGAUUGAAGUCUGAGUGAAAAUAUAAAUUAUUUAAAACUUUCAACAACGGAUCUCUUGGUUCCGGCAUCGAUGAAGAACGCAGCGAAAUGCGAUACGUAAUGUGAAUUGCAAAUUCAGUGAAUCAUCGAGUCUUUGAACGCACAUUGCGCCCCCUGGUAUUCCGGGGGGCAUGCCUGUCCGAGCGUCAUUGCUGCCCUCAAGCCCGGCUUGUGUGUUGGGCCCCGUCCUCCGAUUCCGGGGGACGGGCCCGAAAGGCAGCGGCGGCACCGCGUCCGGUCCUCGAGCGUAUGGGGCUUUGUCACCCGCUCCGUAGGCCCGGCCGGCGCUUGCCGAUCAACCCAAAUUUUUAUCCAGGUUGACCUCGGAUCAGGUAGGGAUACCCGCUGAACUUAAGCAUAUCAAUAA